AGUGAACGCUGGCGGUAGGCCUAACACAUGCAAGUCGAACGGCAGCACAGUAAGAGCUUGCUCUUACGGGUGGCGAGUGGCGGACGGGUGAGGAAUACAUCGGAAUCUACUUUUUCGUGGGGGAUAACGUAGGGAAACUUACGCUAAUACCGCAUACGACCUACGGGUGAAAGCAGGGGAUCUUCGGACCUUGCGCGAUUGAAUGAGCCGAUGUCGGAUUAGCUAGUUGGCGGGGUAAAGGCCCACCAAGGCGACGAUCCGUAGCUGGUCUGAGAGGAUGAUCAGCCCCACUGGAACUGAGACACGGUCCAGACUCCUACGGGAGGCAGCAGUGGGGAAUAUUGGACAAUGGGCGCAAGCCUGAUCCAGACAUACCGCGUGGGUGAAGAAGGCCUUCGGGUUGUAAAGCCCUUUUGUUGGGAAAGAAAAGCAGCAGGUUAAUACCCCGCUGUUCUGACGGUACCCAAAGAAUAAGCACCGGCUAACUUCGUG
Molecule: ribosomal RNA, 492 nt
Filed under: uncultured bacterium
Lineage: Bacteria
Description: partial 16S ribosomal RNA
Rfam family: Bacterial small subunit ribosomal RNA
Source: RNAcentral